GAGCUCCUAUCAGGUCAUCUUCAUCAUCAGCCAUGUUCUCUGCAGCUCUGAUACUGCUGCUGACAGCUGCAUCCUGUGUCAACAGUAUUGAUCUCAUCCAGCCAGGAUCAAUGGUUGUGCAGCCUGGACAGACUCUGACCAUCACCUGUCAGCUCUCUGGUUACUCUAUCACUGAUGACAACUAUGCUACAGGCUGGAUCAGACAGUGUGAAGGAAAACCCAUGGACUGGAUCUCUUAUCAGUGGGGUGGUGGUACACUUCGGGAAAAUAAUGUUCUGAAGAACAAGUUCAGCUACAGCAGAGACACUUCUGCUGGGACAGUGACUCUCACAGGACAGAACAUGCAGCCUGCAGACACAGCUGUGUAUUACUGUGUUAGAUACACACAGUAACACAACCAUCAGCAGAGCUGAACAAAAACCCCUCAGAGUCUGAACACCAAGCCUGAGGCCACCAGAGGAGGCGCUCUAAGACCACAAAUCACUAAAACACCAGCUGAGUGGGACAAACAGUCUCUCUCUACAUGUUGUAUAAUAUAAAUGGAAGCUGUUUCCCUUCAUGAUAAAAACACAUGGGUGACUCAAUGACAGCAGGAAAACAACAUUAAACACAUGGAUCACAGCUUUACUAUCAAACAAAAUUUUAUUUGGACAUUUUUAUUUUUGUUGAUUUUAGAGGAAAGUCAAGCUCAGCAACAAGACAAGGCUGAUAACUGCAUCAUUAUGUUAACAUUCAAACUUGACAUCUCAUCUAUAAUAUCCAUCAGUAUGAACUAUAUCUGAGCACAGAGUCACUGAUAAAAACACAGUUUCUUCAUUGUGAACACUUGAUACUUGGAGCCCUCAGACAACAAAUGAUUGUAAAUUGUCCUAUCAUGGCUCCAGUAGUCCUGGGCCUGGUUGGUGUCACUCUCUGGCUCCUCCUGAUCACUGCUGAUUGACUCCACCUGCUCAGACCUGCACACCUGCUCCAAAUCAACUCAGGAAGCUCAACAGUAUAUCUAACCUGGUCCAACAUUCACUCAUCACCAGAUCAUUGUUCAGCCUCUGUGGAUUAUCGCUCACCUCACCUACCUCUACCUGCCCGCUGACUCCAAACUCCACCAACAGACCAGCUCUCUCUUCAUCCAUCUACAACUCAGCAAAUGAGAGAAAGAAAUACAGAAAGAAGAAUCACUGCAAUUCACUCUCCUCUGACUCCUUUUACUGCAUCUGGGUCUGAACUCACAAGACCUAACAGCUUCUUUGGAACAUUUUUUAGACCCUCACUAAAUAUUCUACAAAGAAAAUCAUCCAAAUACAGCCUCAACCCUCCAUAACAUGUUGUUACACACUACAGUAAAAAUACAUCUCAUCCAUGAUUCUAUUUGACAACUUUGACUGAGCAGAGGAAAGAGUCUGAAACUGGUGAAGACGGUGCAGCUCUGUUGGAUCUACCAAUAAAGAGAAACAUCCUGCUUUUUUCUCACCUAGCUAUGUUUACUACAUACAAAUGAAAGAGAUUUUGAUUGAGCUCUCAAUGUGAUGAAAAUGAGCCGUGGAUAUGAAGCGUUCAUGUCAUUAACAAAUGUAAAGAUAGGAUGCCUGUAACAUCUCAUGCUGCAAUAAGAAGGCAAAACACAACCAAUGAAUA
Non-coding RNA from Cheilinus undulatus (humphead wrasse), 1632 nucleotides. The record is from the annotation of a RefSeq genome assembly. Lineage: Eukaryota; Metazoa; Chordata; Actinopteri; Labriformes; Labridae.